Molecule: ribosomal RNA, 481 nt
Filed under: Salmonella enterica subsp. enterica serovar Minnesota
Lineage: Bacteria; Pseudomonadati; Pseudomonadota; Gammaproteobacteria; Enterobacterales; Enterobacteriaceae
Description: bacterial LSU rRNA
Rfam family: Bacterial large subunit ribosomal RNA
Source: RNAcentral
CAUCCUCCAAGGCUAAAUACUCCUGACUGACCGAUAGUGAACCAGUACCGUGAGGGAAAGGCGAAAAGAACCCCGGCGAGGGGAGUGAAAAAGAACCUGAAACCGUGUACGUACAAGCAGUGGGAGCACCCUUUGGGGUGUGACUGCGUACCUUUUGUAUAAUGGGUCAGCGACUUAUAUUCUGUAGCAAGGUUAACCGAAUAGGGGAGCCGGAGGGAAACCGAGUCUUAAUUGGGCGUUAAGUUGCAGGGUAUAGACCCGAAACCCGGUGAUCUAGCCAUGGGCAGGUUGAAGGUUGGGUAACACUAACUGGAGGACCGAACCGACUAAUGUUGAAAAAUUAGCGGAUGACCUGUGGCUGGGGGUGAAAGGCCAAUCAAACCGGGAGAUAGCUGGUUCUCCCCGAAAGCUAUUUAGGUAGCGCCUCGUGAAUUCAUCUCCGGGGGUAGAGCACUGUUUCGGCUAGGGGGCCAUCCCGGCU